CUUUGGCAACCAGAUGCAGAGAACAAGCACUCUUGGAAGGUGUUAAGCAAGGAUGCAGAAAUUGAAAAGCACCCAGUGUUUUCAUAUAGGAAUUAAGAAAUACUUUUUGGAAUGAUAAUUAACUACAGUCUGUGGUGGAUAGAAGGUAAUGGCUGGGUUUCUUUCAGCCAGGAAAAUGGAGGACUGAGGGCUUUAGCAAAAAAGCUGGGACCGUUCUUUCAUGGGGCAUUUGAAGCUGGUUUCGGCACACAUGUCAGCGAGCCACUCUGCAGAUGAGGCCCUGCAGCACAGCGACUUGUUCUCAUCAGAAGACCCUGGGGACUGCAGGCGGAUUAUUAUGCGGUGUCCUGACUCGGUGGCCUGCACCUCUCCCUGGAGCCUGCAGUGGAUCCCAGAUCGCCGGCAGCCUUUCUCUGCUGCUUCUCCACCGCUGGCCCUCGAAUGAUGUGAGUACCCUGGAUAAAUGUCCUGCUGAGCCAGUUUACUAUCUGCUACGUUUUAAUGUAUCUUUUACCAAAAAAAAAAAAGCCAUAUUUAUAAUA
Brienomyrus brachyistius is the source of this 542-nucleotide long non-coding RNA. RefSeq lists it as uncharacterized. The transcript is spliced from 3 exons. Lineage: Eukaryota; Metazoa; Chordata; Actinopteri; Osteoglossiformes; Mormyridae. The record is from RefSeq and is a predicted model, not a curated record.